Asparagus officinalis (garden asparagus) is the source of this 897-nucleotide long non-coding RNA. RefSeq lists it as uncharacterized. The record is from RefSeq and is a predicted model, not a curated record. NCBI's taxonomy places the organism in Eukaryota, Viridiplantae, Streptophyta, Magnoliopsida, Asparagales, Asparagaceae. The transcript is spliced from 3 exons.
AAAUAUCUCGAAAUUAUCUGGGAGACGGAAUUGAACUCCGAAAAUUCCAAAUCUGACUGAAAAUGCCGCUCAAUUAUCCGAGAGAUGAAAUUGAACUCCGAAAAUUCCGAAUCCGAGUGAAAAUGUUGCGAAAUCACCCAAAAUUUAGAAUUAGGUCCCGAGCAUUCUGAAAGCAGGUGAAAAUGCCGCGAAAUUAUCCGAGAGAUGAAAUUGAACUCCGAAAAUUUCGAAAACUGACGAAAUCAGGCGAAAAUACAGCAAAACGGACGCUUAACUAGGUCUGACCCGCGCUCACGCGGGUCAGAUGGAUCCGACCCGCGUGAUCGCGGGUCGGAUUGAUCCGACCCGCGAGCACGCGGGUCGGACACAAGUCCGACCUGCGGAACGCGGGUCGGAGGGGCUGAAAAGGCGUAAAAAAUCCCCCAAUUUUCUUCUUCUUCUUCCCAUAUUCGGUUCCAGCUUCUUCUCCUUCCUCCUCUUCCAAUUUGGAUUCGAGCAAAAGGGUAGACCUAGGGUUUCGGUGGAUCUUGAACUCGAACAAUUGGGGGUUCUUUUAGCGCUCAUCCUUCAUCUACUUCGGAUUCCAGGGUUUCGGGUCUUGAUUUGGGCUCGGACGUUGCCGUGGGUCCUCUCCAUCGAACUCGUCCUCUCUGAUCCAAUCUGAACUUGAUUUCGAAUUGUGAAUCUGAACUCAUUCAUGGUUGAGUUCUUAGUUGAUGAUUGCGUGCAUAAGGCCCUAGUUCUUCAAUCAAUCUUGGGGAAAACCGAAAUCUUUGGAAUUUUGGGGGGUUGAUGACUGGCCGAUUGAGCUCUUGAAAGCACUCUCCCGAUGCUAAUGACCGCACUUUUACAGCAUCCUGACUAACAGAAGCCAGGAACUCCCCGUUAUUGUCCCAA